AGGAGGAGGAGGACAGAAGGAGGGAGGAGGAGGAGGAAAGCAUCAGUGAGCUGCAGGGCAACUUCAAGCAUCCUGAGGUAUACGUAAAUUGAUUUCCAGAAGAGGAGAGGGGACUAGACAAGGAGAAGGGGAGAAAAACACUGAAGGUCAAGACAAACUGCAAUAUGGAUGCUGUGUUUCUUGAGCUCGAUGGAGCCCAGAAUAAGACGGUCAAGAAACUUGAAGCAAUUUAACACUAGCCUUUCUUGACAUAGGAGCAGCGGUGGAGAAAGCAAGAGCAUGUUUAUUCCUCAACCUCCUCUGCUCAUAGGCAGACAAUGGCCAAAGUGGCAACUGGACCAGAUGCCUUCAUCCAGUUCUCAGCAGCAGGCAGGCAGGAUGAUCGGUUUCCUAACUUGCCUUCCUCUGCCUUCAGCACAAGGAAACAGCCAGUGAUGGAGUAACUGAGCUUGCGGCAGCUCAUGCUGGCAAUGCACCUGCUAAGUAUUAAACUAGAAGCUGUUGUUUCCCCUACAGACAUUUCUGUUUGGGUUUCUAUAAAUCUAUGUGCUACAUACAGAAAUCAUGUUUAAUUGAACACAAUGAGCUGACUCAAAGCAUAUCAAAAAAUUGUGAUGCACCAUUUCCCAUCCUUACCUGCCUUCCUGCUGGAACUUCCCAGGGAGGUACUGGCCAGGGCAGAUCUUGCUCACCCUGCCGAAAUAUGCUGAUAGAUUUUCAGAAUCCACAGGCUUUGUUUGCUCAGGAUUGUUUUUUCUCUCUCACUCAUCUAUUCUUUCAUCAUUGAAUCAAAAGAAAAACCUGCAAAAGGGAUUCUAACACAUGUCUUCAACCAGCAGCCUCAUUAGAUGGGAGGUCAUCGCCUGGCCAAGACUUUUCAACAAUGAUGCCCAUUCCAGGAUGAGCAUCAGGAUAAAGCAUUUACUCCAGAGGUCUGAAGAGCUGUUGAUGGCACCUGGGCUCCUCAGCCCAGCAACACAGGCAGUGGAAACACAGCAGAGUCUGGUGCCACAGAAGCAGGUCCGAAAUAUGUUUGUGCUACUUGUAACCUUGAAAAGUCAUAUAUAUUUGGAUUCAUGUUUUAUUUUUGUCUUAAGGGACAUAUCCUCCUAUUAUAAUGUCUCAUAUUAUCUUCUUUUUAUUUCUUGAUAUUUUAAUUCUUGAAAUGUAAUGUAUGUGCAUGCUGAAAAAAAUAAAAGCACUAACAACUAUCCUAUAAAAAAUAGGCUCACAUUAGUGAUAUCCUAGUUCUUAAGCUAGGUUGUAAGAAAAUGGGUAUUUGUUUUGCUCUCAUUUCUUUAUGCAUGUACAUCCUUGUAUAUGUUUGUAUGCGGGUGUGUAGGUACAUAUGUAUGCACGAGUGUAUGUAUGAAAGUCUCAUUAUUACUCUUGAAGCCAGUAUUAUAUUAUUUAUAUAAUAAAUUUAUA
Molecule: non-coding RNA, 1428 nt
Organism: Macaca mulatta (Rhesus monkey)
Lineage: Eukaryota; Metazoa; Chordata; Mammalia; Primates; Cercopithecidae
Source: RefSeq, a predicted model, not a curated record